Molecule: ribosomal RNA, 756 nt
Filed under: uncultured bacterium
Lineage: Bacteria
Description: bacterial SSU rRNA
Rfam family: Bacterial small subunit ribosomal RNA
Source: RNAcentral
AGAGUUGUAUCCUGGCUCAGAAGGAACGCUGGCAGCGUGCAUAACACAUGCAAGUCGAACGUGAGUACUCUUCGGGGUAUGAAAGUGGCGAACGGGUGAGUAACACGUAAGAAUCUACCUUUAGGACGGGGAUAACUUCUGGAAACGGAUGCUAAUACCCGAUAUGCUGUGGAGUGAAAGAAUUUCGCCUAAAGAUGAUCUUGCGUCUGAUUAGCUAGAUAGGGUGGUAACGGCACACUAUGGCGACGAUCAGUAGCUGGUCUGAGAGGAUGGACAGCCACAUUGGAACUGAGACACGGUCCAAACUCCUACGGGAGGCAGCAGUGGGGAAUUUUCCGCAAUGGGCGAAAGCCUGACGGAGCGACGCUGCGUGAAGGAUGACGGCCUGCGGGUUGUAAACUUCUUUUCUCGAAGAAGAAUAAAUGACGGUAUUCGAGGAAUAAGCAUCGGCUAACUCUGUGCCAGCAGCCGCGGUAAGACAGAGGAUGCAAGUGUUAUUCGGAUUGAUUGGGCGUAAAGCGUCUGUAGGCGGUUUGAAAAGUCUUUUGUGAAAUUCUUCGGCUCAACCGGGGGUCCGCAAAAGAAACUUUCAUACUUGAGGGAAGUAGAGGUACAGGGAAUUUCCGGUGGAGCGGUGAAAUGCGUAGAUAUCGGAAGGAACACCAAUAUGGCGAAGGCACUGUACUGGGCUUUACCUGACGCUGAGAGACGAAAGCUAAAGGAGUGAUUAGGAUUAGAUACCCUAGUAAUUUUAGC